This 90-nucleotide unclassified non-coding RNA is filed under the name Pseudomonas corrugata. Lineage: Bacteria; Pseudomonadati; Pseudomonadota; Gammaproteobacteria; Pseudomonadales; Pseudomonadaceae. The record is from RNAcentral.
UGUGGGAGCGAGCCUGCUCGCGAUGGCGGUGUGUCAGCCGAGAUUUUGAUCAACCGACGCACCGCCAUCGCGAGCAGGCUCGCUCCCACA